AGUAUAGUUGAUGUGUUGGAGGAAGUUAUUUGAUGUGUUCAUGGAGGUUACAUAUUUAAUAAAUGAGUUUUUUUUUGUAUUUUUUUUAAUUUAAUAAUUGAUAGUAAUUGUAACAAUUGAUAAAGGAUAAAAUUGGAAGAAAAAAAAAGGCCAUACCAAAUUCACCUAUCCCCUUUAUAUAUAGUUAUAGAUAUAUAAAUGUAAUCAAUUAUAGAAUUUAAUUGAAAUGCAUUUGUGUUAAUCUCUUAAUUAUAA
Molecule: long non-coding RNA, 255 nt
Filed under: Lathyrus oleraceus (garden pea)
Lineage: Eukaryota; Viridiplantae; Streptophyta; Magnoliopsida; Fabales; Fabaceae
Description: Pisum sativum (pea) long non-coding RNA (PSAT_LNC010283)
Source: RNAcentral